Molecule: unclassified non-coding RNA, 154 nt
Filed under: Ascomycota sp.
Lineage: Eukaryota; Fungi; Ascomycota
Description: partial internal transcribed spacer 1
Source: RNAcentral
ACACGGGCGGCUGGCGCGCAGGGGGUCCGAAAAUGGCAGCUCCCCGGUCGGCACGUAGCCAAAUCGGCCGUAAUAAGGGGGCAAUUCUUCGCGCAGAUUCACAAUGUGGAUGUCCACAAACCGGCAGCCGCGGGCUCGUGCCCGCGUUUCGACG